AACGAACGUUGGCGGCGUGGAUUAGGCAUGCAAGUCGCACGAAUCUCAGACUGGUAGCAAUACCGGGCUGGGGAAAGUGGCGAAAGGGGCAGUAAGGCGUGGGUAACUUGCCCCGGAGUUCGGAAUAGCCGUUCUAACGAACGGGUAAUCCCGAAUGCCGUGCCGAGGGGGCCUCCCCUUGGCACGAAAGUUACGGCGCUCCGGGAGGGGCCCACGUAGUAUUAGCUUGUUGGUGAGGUAACGGCUCACCAAGGCCAAGANGCUUAGCAGGUGUGAGAGCACGACCUGCGCCACUGGCACUGGGACACUGGCCAGACUCCUACGGGAGGCUGCAGUCGAGGAUCUUCGGCAAUGGGCGCAAGCCUGACCGAGCGACGCCGCGUGGGCGAUGAAGGCCUGG
Molecule: ribosomal RNA, 400 nt
Filed under: uncultured bacterium
Lineage: Bacteria
Description: bacterial SSU rRNA
Rfam family: Bacterial small subunit ribosomal RNA
Source: RNAcentral